This 1155-nucleotide ribosomal RNA is filed under the name Triticum aestivum (bread wheat). Its description in RNAcentral is "partial small subunit ribosomal RNA". The record is from RNAcentral. Lineage: Eukaryota; Viridiplantae; Streptophyta; Magnoliopsida; Poales; Poaceae.
AUGGCCGCCGCCGCCACCGGAACAGGGGGCCAGACCCUCGGCCGGAGCAGCUUCUCGCGCGCCGCCUCAUCGAAGACCGCCUCCUCCUCCUCCUCCCCCACCGCCUCCGGCGUCAAGCUCGGCCCCAACGGCGCCGCCUUCGUCUCCUCCGGCAUCCCCGACCUCGACAGGAUCCUGGGCGGCGGUUUUCUCCUCGGCUCGGUCGUGAUGGUCAUGGAGGACUCCGACGCGCCGCACCACCUCCUCCUGCUCCGGGCCUUCAUGGCGCAGGGCGUCGUGCACAAGCAGCCCCUGCUCUUCGCCGCGCCUAUGAAAGAGCCCCGCUCGUUCCUCGGCGCGCUGCCUGCUCCGGUGGCGUCCUCGAAGGAGGAUGCCCGGCAGAGGGCGAUGGCGGGCGGAGCAGCUGGCGACGGACGGGCAAGCGAUGAGGGUUUGAGGAUAGCUUGGCAGUACAGGAAGUACUUUGGGGACGAGAGGAAUUCCGGUGCUGAACACAGAGACAGCAAGCAGGAAUUUAGCCAUGAUUUUGAUUUACGGAAGCCCCUGGAACGGCAUUUACUUAAUGCACAGCAUAUUGAAUGUUUGAGCACUCAAGAUGUGGAUACUCUCCAUGAUCUCCAGGAUCGCUGUUCUGCUUUCUUAUCCAAACAUCAAAGAAAAGAGGGUGGGAAUCUGAGUGCAGGACGUAUUGCUAUACAGUCACUCUGUGCACCACAGUGUGGAUAUUUUGGGAAGGACUGGGACAUGGUCUCGUUUCUCAGAUCACUGAAGGCCAUGGUGCACUCAUCUAACGCGGUUGCCAUUAUAACAUUUCCACACACAGUCCUAUCAGAUUCUUUCUGCAAGAGAUGGCAGCACCUAGCAGACACGCUGCUGUCAAUAAAAGCAAUCCCAGAUGAGGACAAGGACUUGGCGAAACUCCUCACAGGGUAUCAGGAUAUGGUUGGUUUUCUACAUGUUCAUAAGGUGGCACAGACCAACAGCCAGGUUCCUGUGAUAUUAGAGGCGUCCACAUUUUCUCUGAAGCUGCGAAAGAGGAGGUCGCUGGUGCUAGAACGGCUGAAUCAGGCCCCGGUGGACGGGUCGAGCGGGCCCUCGUCUGGUGGAUCAGGCAGUUGCUCGUCCUCGACGCAAGGCUCGCAGCUCGACUUCUAG